Molecule: long non-coding RNA, 519 nt
Filed under: Panax ginseng (ginseng)
Lineage: Eukaryota; Viridiplantae; Streptophyta; Magnoliopsida; Apiales; Araliaceae
Description: long non-coding RNA (PGIN_LNC000015)
Source: RNAcentral
UCCCAGAUGUCUUUUAUGGUUACUAUCUUUGAUUGUAUCUAUGUUUUGAUCUUUAUUUUUGAAUUCUACUUCACCCUUGGUUAUUAUGGAGUAUUAUUAAAUUUGGAUAAACUGAAAUACAAAUCCCUAAUAUUUGUCCUUCUGUCUCACUGGAUUCAUUCUCUAAAAUGUUUUUCAUCAUCCUCAGUCCUUAAUGGAGAUACUUGAUGAAUAUCUUUGGCCUGUAGUGCAAAGAUGAAUGAUUACCUGAUGAAUAUCUUUGGCCCGUAGUGCAAAGAUGAACAGGUGUUGAGAUGAACAUGACCAACUGGUGAUACAAAUGAAUAUCUUUGGCCCGUAGUGCAAAGAUGAAUAUUUGAUGCAAGAUGUAUAUUGAUUGAUGUUACAGGGAUAAAAUAUUGAUGAUGGACUUUUAAAUUCAUGGAUGAUAGUAGAUUUCAUUCUCUACUUAAAUCCUCUAAUGAAUUGUUAUUUCCGCUGCAGUUGUUGAUCUAAAACUUGUUGUCGAUUAUAUUCUAU